UUAUAACCUAAACAUUUAUUUAUUUAAAUCUUUUAAACGAUUUUUAUACGAGAAAUGGCAACAAUUACAUGCUAUAUGACAAUGAAAAUGCAAGAAAUAUUUAUAGUGAGAAGUUAAAAGAUAUGAAAAUGAAGUGAAGGAUAACGGCAUUGAAAAUUAAUGAAUCUUGUCAAUAGUCCGGCUGGUGUUGACAGAAGAUCAAGAAGAGGAACAAUAAUUAUUAAUAAAUUGUAAACAUCAAAAAAUUCCAAAACUAUUGAGGUGUUGAAAUCCAGUAAAUUUUCUUGUAAAGCUUGGAGCAUUGCAAAUGUUUGGUGUUAAUGUAUGAGAGUACUUCACAUUUAAACAAUAUUGAUGAAGUUGUCUGCUUAUUUGGGGCCAAACAAGAAGGAGAGAAAUUUUCUUGGAAAAGAAUCGAAAGCAAUAAAGAUAAUGCUGCGAUUGGCAUUUUGGACAUUUGUGCUGUGUAUGUGGAUGUAUUGGCAAGCCUGCGCUGGAAAUUCGGCACAAAUCGGCUGUGUUUACAUCCGGUUUAGAGCAUUCAAAACGGUGCCGCCAAUUGAGACUGCCGUCGCCUGUGAAGUUUGCGCUGUACCGGUAAUUAGAUUUUUAAGUGCUAAAGGUGUGAAAGCCAUUUAAAUUCAUUGACAGAUUAGUGAAGUGUAUGGGGAGAAAAUUAUGAGUGGCGGAAUGGUACCUACGCAGGUGGGUAAGGGCAUUUAAAGAUGGCCGCACCAACGUUCAUGAGGAGCAACGCACAGGGUGGCCAUCUAUCAAAUUGUCAUGGUGAUUUCCAGGAUGUGAAUCCGUUAUCUUCGGAACCGGAGACUUACGCUGUACAACUACACCAGUCUAAAUAUGUGGAAAGAUCAAGUUAUUUGUUUAUAGUUUAUUGCCCCCACACAACUGGUAACAAUAAAGUAGUUUCACAUCUUUUUGUGGUAAAAAAAUGUUAAUACCAGCACAGAAUUAAAUUAGUUAUUUUUCCCCAACACCCAUUAAACCUUAGAUACAUCG
Macrosteles quadrilineatus (aster leafhopper) is the source of this 1017-nucleotide long non-coding RNA. RefSeq lists it as uncharacterized. NCBI's taxonomy places the organism in Eukaryota, Metazoa, Arthropoda, Insecta, Hemiptera, Cicadellidae. The record is from RefSeq and is a predicted model, not a curated record. The transcript is spliced from 3 exons.